GGAGAAGGUACCAUGAGGUUC
This 21-nucleotide non-coding RNA is filed under the name Mus musculus (house mouse). Lineage: Eukaryota; Metazoa; Chordata; Mammalia; Rodentia; Muridae. The record is from RNAcentral.